Lepisosteus oculatus (spotted gar) is the source of this 7425-nucleotide non-coding RNA. NCBI's taxonomy places the organism in Eukaryota, Metazoa, Chordata, Actinopteri, Semionotiformes, Lepisosteidae. The record is from RefSeq and is a predicted model, not a curated record.
UCUUCCUCCACCACUGAGACACUUUGGUCUCUCACACCGUCACACUCUUCCUCAGCCGCUGUAAAACAGUGAUACUGUGAUACUGAGCUGAGCCCCUGAGGUCAAGAGAUGUCCAGCCAGUUUAGAGGCAGAAUUGUCUUAAGAAAUUCAGAUUACAGCAAAUUAAAGCAGAAACAGUCAACAAAACAUUUACAGAUAGUGAUAUACUGUUCCACUUUGCUUUCACAAUCCCUAUUGAUCUGCGUGCCUAUGUCACACAGUUGUGCCAUCUUGCGUCUUAGUCCCUACAGUCCAAGCACCCUGUAUCACAGUAUCUCACCUGUCACUUCACCACAGGUAGAUCACUUUCACACAGCCAGGUUUUGCACAUAUUCCAGAUCGUCACAUGGGAAUAUUGCAUGUGUGGCCUGCAGUCUGGGAAAUUCAUUGUAUUUAUCUAUAAAGGCUGUAUAGACUUUGCUUGUAAGAAUGACCAAGUGCUAACGGAGUGUUGUGGAUCUUCUUUAAAAUGAUACUAUUGUGUAUUUUCAGAACUCAGAUUUACAGGCAAUACAAUUGCUGACUUAUGUCGUUCUGGUAUCCUCAUGGAUACUUUGACUUCACAUUCUGGUUGUGCUGCAUUUCAGAGCUAAGGCUCAGUUUUAAUUUGUUUUUUUCUUACUAAUUGUAACUGGUUUACUCUUGAUAUAGGAAAAUCUAUAUAUUCAAUAAAUUAGAAAUUCAAAGUUGUUUCCAAAUUAACUUGCUCUCUUUCUUCUUCUCUUUCUUUCUCACAACACUUUCAAAUUGGGAACAAAUAUGCUCUCUUGCUCUCAUUACUUUUCAAUGCAUAAUCCUUUGACUCCCACUGAUAUUAUUGCCACCUGUAGUUUUCAAUGAUGCUGUUAUAUAACACAUCUGAAUUUAAAGUUAUGAAGCAAAACAGUGUGAAAGAAAACCUUUUCUUAUUCCUUACAGUUGACUUUUCCAUUUUUUAAAUGAAAGCCUUAGUUUCAAAUGUAAAACUAAGUAGCUCAAAUAUUUUUGACAUUUGCAUUUCUCAUCAUGUCAAACACAAAGCACUGCCUGUGUGUUAUAUCAGUUAAUUCUCUCAAAAUCUUCAGCACGUACUGUGUGUUCAAUAAGCUCACUGUGAAAUUAGCAUUCUUUAAUAAACAGCAGUGAUUACAGUUAAUUACUGAUUAAUACUAUACUGAUUAAUAAAGGGAGCCAGCAAUUACAGUAUGUCAGUGACUGUGUGGUACAAUGAUAUGAGUGUGAAUUAAAGGAUUUUGUAUCAGCUAGGGCAGUGUAAGUGAAGCCAUUUGAAAAACCACAUUGAGCUGUGCUGCUGAGGAAUAACACAGUUCAAUGAUUCUGUGAAGCUUUUCGAGAGAAGAAAAUGACUUCACUCUGCCAAUAAAUCCAAAUGGCACAAAUAAGACUUCAAUUACAUGCUAUACCACAUCAAAUGGUCACAUAGAAUGAAGUCUCCUAUGUGUAGCUGUGGUUACACAAGUCUGAAUGCUGCUGUUGUGAUAGCUGAAUGUCACAGUGUGUCAUUAGGAAUUUUUUGGACGCCUGGGCUGUUGUUGGUUGCUGCCCUUCAGUAAUGUUCUGUUUGACCCUCAAUCCCAUCCGUCUCACUCUGCAAGAAACUGUUUCCAUGGCUACCAUUCACAGUCACUUUCUGGGCCUCAGCAUCUGGCAUAUACAUCUGCAUACAAAAAGGGAAAGAUGUAGUGAUACCCUCCAGUUUUACAGAUGUGUUCCUGGUGCAAAUUUCCAGAGGGUAUAGAAGAUUACCCAGCAGAGGUUAGGGGCCAAGGAAACCUCUGCUCUGUCUUCAUCCAUACUCAUUAGAACUAUCACGGCCACUGCAAAAGCAUAUUGAGCUGUUGUUUUUAUCACUGCUUGCUUGAUUCUUCUAUGAGCAAUCUGAUGAAGACCUGGUUCAGUUUUGACACUGCACAUUCCCAAGGAAUAGCAGUGAUAUACCACCAUGAGAUGAUAUACCACCAUCUAGUGGAAGGUAACGACCCUCACCACGGUCAAAGCAGGGAAAGAAAGAUUUGUAUAAUUUACCGUUUCGUACAAGUGUCACGUAGCACACCGCUAUUUCAGAGGGUCGUAGCGUUUUAAAAUUGGCAAAACCGUCUCCGCAGAAGAUUUUCCAAUCUGUGCUCAGCAUUUGCUUGGCCUGCAUUAUAAAUAUCAGCCGUUCUGCAUGACAGCCAGCAUCAGGCCUUGAAUAUAUCACCAGCUCCAGCUGCCAUGUGUUUGUGCCUGUUCCAUACGAUGCCUUGUUUUUUGUCACAGAUGCAUCACCUUCAUGUCAAAGCUGCUUAUUUUAAUGUCAACAGACUUGGUCUAAGGAAGAAUCAGGCACUGUCACCUAGAUAUCUGCAUCAUAAAAUUAAUGGAUAACAGCUUUUGAAGCACACCCCCCUCAUUAACUCAUUUUAAUCUGUGGUUGAACUGUCACUUGCGACAACUGAUACAAAAUCUAAAUAAGCCAAAAUUGCUGAAUGUUGCUGACCUCUGGUCUGCUGGUACAGCACGGGAAAGAUUGUGCAUGAUACUCUGUAGCUCGUAUUAAAUAGUCAACUAAAAUUAAAACAAACCCGUCGUAUAUAUCAAAAGUAUUUUACGUUUUGUUUCACGCAUUGCCAAAAGUUACGCUUUUGUUUGUUUUAAGUUACACUUCGAAGGUUUUUUUCACUCAGCUGACCAGUCCCUGCCAGUCCUUAAGGGAGCAGUAAGACUGUAUAUGCCACAUGCGCCAUGUGUGUGGAGAUGGUGUUGGUUGGUCUUGGGUGGGGUGGGCUGCAGGUGAAUGGAUACAGCUAUCCUCCAGAGUCCCCAAUGAAUGCGUGCAUGCUCCAGUACUAACCCACCCUGAGAGAAACUGCCCUGCUCCAGAAGCAGAAGUGGCCUGGUGUGGAACAAGAGCCUGUCUCUGUCAAGCUAACCAGAAAGCAUGGGCUCUGUUCUGAUCUUCUGUGUCCAAGACCACAGAAAGUGAAAAUGGAUAAAGACCUUUCACCAUAAGUAGCACCUCUCACUAUAGGAAUUCAUAUUUGUUUCUCAGUAGUCCUUCAUAAAUAAAGGUUAGUGGACACAACUGUAGCACUCUGCCACAGAGGAAGCUAGAUAUUGUGAUCAGUGUAAUCUGUAAUUCAUGAAACACACGCUGUGACUGAGCUGCAGUUGAAUAGAUGGCGACAGUUAUAAGCCUACAUGGAUUCUUAAAUCAAAGCAUUGUUUUUCCAAUUAAUUCAUAUUGCAGAACAUACUGAUAAGCAUGAUUCCAUACUGUACAUUUUGCUUUCAAUGAAACAUGAUUAAGGUCUUCAUCCCAUUGUCUUCUCUGCUCAUAGGUCUGAGCCUUGAACACCUCUCUCUUUCAGCUCUAUAUUUGAUUGCCUAACUAAGCAUAGUGAAAGGCCACCCCUGACAUUACCUAUUAAUACCAAAUACGUCGACGUCCACAGGAGAUACACCAGUCUGCCACCCCGUUUUCACAGUGGUGGUCACGUUGUUACUAUACUUUUUACUGCACUUUCAGUGUCAAGCGCCAACACAGCUCUCAGACUGUGGAGCAGACUGAGAGUCUUUCUCAGUGCAGUAUACAAGCUUCUGCUGUGUCAGUCUGAGUGGAGAGCACAUUCUAGACUCAUGAAAAUGCAGCGUUUGAAUGCAGGAUCUCUGUCACAUUAGCGCAUCAGACUCCCAGUUGCACGAGGAACCGAGGAAGGGAAUGGCUGGAAAGCUCCACCAAGGCUUGCCUGCUUCAUAAAUCUGCCUGUCCAAAUCUUGAGUUGUCCAACAGGCAUGAUCAAGUAAUUAAACCACAGGCAGUGCUUACUGACCAUGGGGUCUGUCAAUAACAGAUUUCAAAGGAGUAACUUCAAUUACAAGAAUGGACUCAAGCACUUUCAGAGAGCUUUGCUUGAAUUCCUUUUUUUCCCCAAAUAAGGGGUGGCCUUUGACUGAAAAUCCCCCGCCCCAGAAAAAAACAAUCACUGUGGCCUGUGUAAUUCACUCUUAACACUAUUGGUUUGCGUCAUCUGAAGGAAAGCAAAUGGAUGUGUUUCUGACUUGUUACUGUAUGUAUGUUUGUUUUGUUUGUUUUAAAGGAAUGCUUAACAAAAAAAGCCCUUAGGGGAAGAGAUGAUACAGCAGCUCCUUUCACUGGAGUUUAGUCCACACAGGAAAGGAGAAGCCUAUUGAAUGGCAGCCCUACAUGGCGCCCAGAGUGACAGCAGCUGUAGGAGGGUUUGUUGCUUUAGUAGAACCUAAGAUAGCUAGGAUACACUUGCUGGUAUUCAGAAAAUGAUCUGGAAGGGGCAUCUGCAGCAUACAUGUAUUUUACCAAGACUAUCCAUCCAAACACCUUCUAACCCACGUGAACACGGGAAGAACAUACAAGCUCCACACAGACAGCACCCCUGGAACUGAACCCAGGAUCCCAGCACUGCUGAUCACUGCGCCACCAUGUCUCUCCUUCCCAUACACACCAGAUCAAUAACCUGAUUAAUAACAAUCCAAUCACCAGGUCGAUAAAUAUAACAAAGCCAGUACAGCCAAAAAUAUUAUAACAAAAUAUGACUAAUAACAAAGCCAGUACAGCCAAACUAUGAAAGGUAUUUGUCACCAAAUGAGUUUGGUUUCUUAAAACACACUAAAACCUUAGUUAAACAGAAUAAUAGGGGAAAGGGAUGUCUGUUAUUGCUGAAUACAUGUUAAAAAACGUUAAAUAAUGUUAAAUAUUUAUACAAGAGAAGAUAUACAUUCAGUAUAUACCUUAUAUGCUCCAUUUUUUAUUUUUUAACAUUUUCAAUUAACAUAGUCAAUGUAAAUUGUUCAUGUGUCUUUUUAUCGUAAAUAUACCAUCUCUUUAUUUCAUGACCCAUAAAUAUACUGUAUAAAAUUAAUCAAAGCAUUCAAAACACAAUAUCCAUGGUAAGCCAUUCACCUACCGUUAAUUCAGGGAAAGUCCAGCAUUUCUGAUUUGACAAAAUUCCCCUUUAGCAGGUUUUGUCUGUUAAAUCCAAUGUCUGCGAAAGCACAGUCCGUUAAACAGAGAGUUUAUUGAAUUCAUCGAGAGUGGUGGUUAGGAAAUCAAGUGGGAAAACACGAUAGACCUGUUCAGAUGUUUAGGAAAUAGGAUGAAGUAAGAUUCUUUCUGGUGUAAGGCAGGUGAUGACGGUGUUGCACCCAAACUUCUGUUUACUGGGGAGGAGACUGUAUUAUCUCUUGAUCAAAAGGGCUUUGUUGUGUGUGCAUUCCCUAAGAAUGCAAGUCAAACGGUACCAUGAGCAAGGCAUUCUUAAAAAUCUGUAUCACUUCCCACAUCCCACGCGGAUGGGGAGACAGAUCACCUGCUGUCACCAGCUCUGCAUACAGCAAAAUUCUGUAGUGAGCGAAACGCUCUCCUGACCCGCUUGGAUACCACCCCGCCACAGACCCUUGCACCGGACCGCCUGUACCCUGUACCCCGAAGGAGCUGGGGAGACUCGUUCUGCAGAGUGAUGUCGCAGCUCAGCGCGGCACGCGGUGCCGGGCUCCGAAUGCCUUGCCUUGGUCUGCCGCUUGACGCCAGGUUCGGAGCUGCAGGGGGGAAUGCGAAGGGGUGUUUUUUUUUAGGGGCUGGAGACUUGACGUCAUGAGCAUGCUGCAACCCUGCCUUCGCUCAGCGCAUGGCCGGUCUCGGGGAGGGGCGGGCUGGUAUGGCGAGUUAACCCUCUAACUGCCGAAGCCCAAGCACUGCGGCGAGCUCUGGCUGUGCCCUACACCUUGACAGCUGUAUCUAUUUUCCACAGGGGGACGGGAUACACCAAAUCCGGGAGGCGCUGAAGAUUUUAGCCGAGAGGGUUUUAAUCCUUGAGACUAUGAUUGGUAUCCAUGAACCGGACGUUGGGUCGGGUGAGGGCCAAUAUGGUACCCCGCUUCCUGGCUUCUACCGGGAUAAACGUUCCAAGAUCUCUGCCUACCAGGCCCUCUCUUCAACAUUAUCCCGGGAGGCCGAAGAGGAAAAAUGAUCCCGGGUGCCAAACGUCCUGGACAGUAUACCACCUGAAAGAUCAUCCGGACCCCACUGGCACACAUCACUGCCAAGUUCCUCUCCAAGCUCAUGGACAAUGGGAUUCACUCAGCUUGCUGCCUAGUGCUGCUGGCAGGCUUAGGGCACCUUGGGGAAAGCUUUCUGGUGCUCGCUGAUAAUACAAUGAGUUCACUUGCACCUCUUUCUACCCCUACAGACAAGCACGGCUCUUUACGACAUAAAAACGGCUUAAACAUUUUAAAAAUGCCAGGCAAACUGCAAAUGCUGUGCUGUGGAUGACCUGAAACAAUUCAAUUAGCAAUGCACAAUCUGCAGAUAAAAAAACAAUUCCCUGUUCAACUUUCGAACCAUAAUCCAAGAACAACAAGCAACCGACUCACAAAUACUAUAGGAAGUUCAAUGCAAAUUCCUGACUGGAGCGAAUACCUUUUCGGGAUAUAGCUGUGAAAGAGAAAACAUUUGUCGUUGAUUCUGAAACGUGGGGGCACUUCAGGAAAAAAUGGAACUAGAAAAUAUGUAAGCAUGUUUUUUUUUCUCCCGACUGCUCUACGAAAGAAACCCUGUUGCUGCAAGUUGAACAACAUAGAGUGCUGCUCUCCUGGGCUGCUUGCUCUUAUUUACAAAACGCUUUAUUCCCUUCGGACAACCCUUAAUCCCAUGCUCUUAACCCGUAAGUUUAUCCCAAGCAGCUGGAGAGAUACACAGGGAUGUGGUUUUUGCUCAGCAGCCGGUUGCUUCAAUCACAGAAAUCAGAUCUCCUCUGGAACAUCUGCUGGUACAGGAUGCAAUAAGCAUUCAGUCCUGAGCAGUAACCAGCCCUCCUGAAGGCUCCCCAAUGGAAAAGGACUCCUGCCUCUCCGCACAGUAAACAGUCAGGACAAGCUGUUACCUGCUUUUAUACAGAGACUCCAAUGUGUCCCCCUGGUUGGAUGUUUAUAAAGAUGGGGGCAUUAUUUUCUUGCUGGGGAAGAUAGUGUUCUUCACAUAGAACUUAAAGUUCCUGCAUUGCUCACCUAUGGCAGUCUAUUUACAGAAGUCCUUCAUUUGUUACCUUAUGAUGGGAAGAGAACAUGAUUUUGCUACGUGAAUAUCUUUGUAAUUAGUACCACUAGUAAAGUUUUUUUUAGUUUGAUUUGCAAGUCAUUAAACCUCUUUGAUUUUUUUAUUGAAAUAAAACUGUUUUGUGUAUUAUUUAAAAAUAAUCCUUAGCAUUUUUUAACUUGUCACCUUGAUUCCCCUUAACAUUUUACUACCAUGUGUAUUUUUUAGUGUUUUUUUUUUCAAAAUCAUUCACAACGUUCUGUACCCAUGUAAUCCAAAACCCAUUGCUGGAAAUGGAAUGAUUGUUGGAAAUUAAAGAUGUUAUUUUUGCCCCAUGA